This 301-nucleotide ribosomal RNA is filed under the name uncultured bacterium. Its description in RNAcentral is "partial 16S ribosomal RNA". It matches the Rfam family "Bacterial small subunit ribosomal RNA", at positions 509 to 807 of the family's 1533-position model. The record is from RNAcentral.
CAGUCGCCACGGUAAUACGUAGGGUGCAAGCGUUAAUCGGAAUUACUGGGCGUAAAGCGUGCGUAGGCGGUGAGUUAAGUCUGCUGUGAAAUCCCCGGGCUCAACCUGGGGAUGGCAGUGGAUACUGGCUCGCUAGAGUGUGUCAGAGGAUGGUGGAAUUCCCGGUGUAGCGGUGAAAUGCGUAGAGAUCGGGAGGAACAUCAGUGGCGAAGGCGGCCAUCUGGGACAACACUGACGCUGAGGCACGAAAGCGUGGGGAGCAAACAGGAUUAGAUACCCGCGUAGUCCCUGUCUCUUAUAC